GGAUCAAGACCAGGAAAUGUGGAGGAGGUCAGCAGCUCAGGAGGAAGGAGACAUCAUGACCGAACUACACAAGGGCAUUUGCAUCUCAUGCUGUCAGGUCACGCUGAGGCACAGGCCGCCGUGGCCUUGACUUCACGGGUUCGACUCCAACAUGCGACCUUUGCCACGACCUUUGUCAUGUGUCAUCCCUCAUCUGUCUCCCGCUGGGCAUCCUGUGUAUCCACUUCCUAAUAUCGAAGGAACGCCAUGAAGAUAAUGUCAGAUAAAGGUUCCCGGGUCGUCAGCAUGGCAACGCAAGAAUUCAGUAGGUAAUUAUGGGCCGUUUAGUUUUUAUGAAUUCAGCCUAAAGCAUUUUAAACAUCAGUGAGGUUUUAAAAUGAAUUUGGAUGGAAGUGACCUUGGAGAAAGUCCCCAACACUUUUCAGUUUCACUUGUUUAAUUCGGUUUAAUACAGCCGGACAAUCUGGCAGAUUCCAAUCAGAUAAUAACUAUCGCAUCAUUUGUAGCUGGUAUUAAAAUGUGAUCUGUAUCUGAGGACUCAC
This is a long non-coding RNA of Lates calcarifer (barramundi perch), 542 nucleotides long. RefSeq lists it as uncharacterized. Lineage: Eukaryota; Metazoa; Chordata; Actinopteri; Centropomidae. The transcript is spliced from 3 exons. The record is from RefSeq and is a predicted model, not a curated record.